RNAcentral lists this ribosomal RNA (395 nucleotides) under uncultured bacterium. RNAcentral's name for it is "bacterial SSU rRNA". It matches the Rfam family "Bacterial small subunit ribosomal RNA", at positions 30 to 426 of the family's 1533-position model. The record is from RNAcentral.
AUUGAACGCUGGCGGCAUGCCUUACACAUGCAAGUCGAACGGCAGCACGGACUUCGGUCUGGUGGCGAGUGGCGAACGGGUGAGUAAUGUAUCGGAACGUACCUUUCAGUGGGGGAUAACGUAGCGAAAGUUACGCUAAUACCGCAUAUUCUGUGAGCAGGAAAGCAGGGGAUCGCAAGACCUUGCGCUGAUUGAGCGGCCGAUAUCAGAUUAGCUAGUUGGUGGGGUAAAGGCCUACCAAGGCGACGAUCUGUAGCGGGUCUGAGAGGAUGAUCCGCCACACUGGAACUGAGACACGGUCCAGACUCCUACGGGAGGCAGCAGUGGGGAAUUUUGGACAAUGGGGGCAACCCUGAUCCAGCCAUGCCGCGUGAGUGAAGAAGGCCUCGGGUUGU